AGUAAGCACCGGCUAACUCCGCGCCAGCAGCCGCGGUAAUACGGAGGGUGCAAGCGUUGUCCGGAUUCACUGGGUGUAAAGGGCGUGUAGGCGGGGGAAUGUGUCGGAAGUGAAAUCGCGCGGCUUAACCGUGUCAAUGGCUUCCGAAACUAUUCCUCUUGAAUGCGGGAGAGGCAGAUGGAAUUCCUGGUGUAGCGGUGGAAUGCGUAGAUAUCAGGAAGAACACCGGUGGCGAAGGCGGUCUGCUGGCCCGUGAUUGACGCUGAGGCGCGAAAGUGUGGGGAGCAAACAGGAUUAGAUACCCUGGUAGUCCACACCGUAAACGAUGGUCACUAGUUGUCGGGGGAUUCGACCCCCUCGGUAACGACGCUAACGCA
This 377-nucleotide ribosomal RNA is filed under the name uncultured Chlorobiota bacterium. Its description in RNAcentral is "bacterial SSU rRNA". It matches the Rfam family "Bacterial small subunit ribosomal RNA", at positions 485 to 859 of the family's 1533-position model. The record is from RNAcentral. Lineage: Bacteria; Pseudomonadati; Chlorobiota.